This 307-nucleotide long non-coding RNA is filed under the name Olea europaea (common olive). Its description in RNAcentral is "long non-coding RNA (OEUR_LNC012022)". The record is from RNAcentral. Lineage: Eukaryota; Viridiplantae; Streptophyta; Magnoliopsida; Lamiales; Oleaceae.
AAACGUUGGGUUAACUUCGCAACUUGUCUCUGCAAAUCUUCAAUCGUCACAUCCUGAAUAUUACGAUCACAGUGCGGGACUUACUCAAUCGGAACCUGUCCUCGACGACCACGACCACGUCCACCAACCAUUAUAACUGAUGGAAUUUAUCUCCCAAGAAGAUGCUGACGCUCUGAUACCAACUGACGCCGGGUAGGAUAGUGAUUAUCCUAUUGGCUUGUUGUAGCAGAUGAUUCGCAAGAAAAGAACGACAGAAAAUGCCCAAAAAAACCAGAGAAAAUACUCUGAAUUCAACUCAAUAUUAUUA